AGUGAACGCUGGCGGUAGGCCUAACACAUGCAAGUCGAACGGCAGCACAGUAAGAGCUUGCUCUUACGGGUGGCGAGUGGCGGACGGGUGAGGAAUACAUCGGAAUCUACUUUUUCGUGGGGGAUAACGUAGGGAAACUUACGCUAAUACCGCAUACGACCUACGGGUGAAAGCAGGGGAUCUUCGGACCUUGCGCGACUGAAUGAGCCGAUGUCGGAUUAGCUAGUUGGCGGGGUAAAGGCCCACCAAGGCGACGAUCCGUAGCUGGUCUGAGAGGAUGAUCGGCCACACUGGAACUGAGACACGGUCCAGACUCCUACGGGAGGCAUCAGUGGGGAAUAUUGGACAAUGGGCGCAAGCCUGAUCCAGCCAUACCGCGUGGGUGAAGAAGGCCUUCGGGUUGUAAAGCCCUUUUGUUGGGAAAGAAAAGCAGCAGGUUAAUACCCCGCUGUUCUGACGGUACCCAAAGAAUAAGCACCGGCUAACUUCGUG
Molecule: ribosomal RNA, 492 nt
Filed under: uncultured bacterium
Lineage: Bacteria
Description: partial 16S ribosomal RNA
Rfam family: Bacterial small subunit ribosomal RNA
Source: RNAcentral